CCUACGGGAGGCUGCAGUGGGGAAUAUUGGGCAAUGGGCGCAAGCCUGACCCAGCAACGCCGCGUGAAGGAAGAAGGCUUUCGGGUUGUAAACUUCUUUUCUCAGGGACGAAGCAAGUGACGGUACCUGAGGAAUAAGCCACGGCUAACUACGUGCCAGCAGCCGCGGUAAUACGUAGGUGGCAAGCGUUAUCCGGAUUUACUGGGUGUAAAGGGCGUGUAGGCGGGAAAGCAAGUCAGAUGUGAAAACCAUGGGCUCAACCUGGAGACUGCACUUGAAACUGGGUGUCUUGAGGGCAGGAGAGGAAAGUGGAAUUCCUAGUGUAGCGGUGAAAUGCGUAGAUAUUAGGAGGAACACCAGUGGCGAAGGCGACUUUCUGGACUGUACCUGACGCUGAGGCGCGAAAGCGUGGGUAGCGAACGGGAUUAGAUACCCUGGUAGUC
This 443-nucleotide ribosomal RNA is filed under the name uncultured bacterium. RNAcentral describes it as "partial 16S ribosomal RNA". It matches the Rfam family "Bacterial small subunit ribosomal RNA", at positions 338 to 795 of the family's 1533-position model. The record is from RNAcentral.